This is a long non-coding RNA of Xiphophorus maculatus (southern platyfish), 422 nucleotides long. RefSeq lists it as uncharacterized. The record is from RefSeq and is a predicted model, not a curated record. NCBI's taxonomy places the organism in Eukaryota, Metazoa, Chordata, Actinopteri, Cyprinodontiformes, Poeciliidae. The transcript is spliced from 6 exons.
GUGCACUGAUAAUCCACAGCAGAUGUGCAGCAAGACAGAAAGUUUUCAACAUGAGAGGAUUUUUACUUUUCCUUUGUUUCUUUGCAUACGUCACUGCAAGUCCAUGCCCAUUUGGACUUCCAGGUUCUUGUUUGCCGCUGGAAGGAGCGAACAAGACAAGCAACUUUACUGACCCACUAGAAACCAACGACACGACCAAAAACUUGGAAGGAAUACGGAUUCCAAUUCAAGGCAAGAUUUAUUUUCCUCCAAAUCCUGAUGAAAACCAGAACCGAGAAAAAUCUGAUCUGGUCUGACUGAAUGUUUUCCAUUCUCAACAAAGUGAAACAUGGACCAGGAAAAUGCUAAAAAAAAGGAAUCCAAGGAGAGGAAUACACGCUCCUAAAUUCAAGCUAUGAGUUUAAAUAAAACAUUGAAGUGUA